UAACCUUUAAGGUUGGUAAACACUUGUACACUGAAGCAUACAAUACUGUACAAUUACUGACAUAGGCAUGUGCUAUUCAGGUGUCAAAGCUGUGCGAAACUGGAGGGAGAAACUUGAGAGACCGUGCCGGAAGAAUGCUGGACAGAGUUCACUAAAAUUCAUUAAUUUCAAAGUUCAACAUGAAUGCUGGUGGUCCACUGCAGAAGCAAGCAUUUGAAAAAACAUCAGUUCUCAGUUAUUAAAGAUGCUGUGUUGAACAACUUCCCAGCAGCAACAGACCUGGAAGUGAAGGAUGCAAUGGGGCAGUGUUUGGAAUAACGCCGUUUAAAAGAACGGCGUUACGUAACGACGUUCAUUUUUCAGUAACGGGCUAAUCUAAUUAAUUACUUUUCCCGCCGUUACAACGCCAUUAACGUUACCGGACGUUAAAUGCGGUGCGUUACUAUGCACUGACUUAACCUGUGUGAUUCAAACGCAACCCUGGCUCACACAGCUAGUGAGGAGGUAGGUUAAUAACGAGAUAAGCGAUUAUGAUUGGCUAAGGCAGAGUAAUGUGUUUCAUGGUAGCCAAUCAGAGCCAGUGUUGUUAUACACAUGCCAGCGCACGCGCCUGCGGCGACACACACACACACACACAGGGCGAAUUCCAAUCGAAAGUGAUGAUCACUAUGCCCUAUUCCCUUUGAAGAUCAAAUCUCUUGAUGUAUAAACUCUAGAUAAAGUUGCGCAAUGUUGUCUGAUAGUGUGGCUAAUUAAAAUACACUUGGUGAUAAAAUACAGCGUCUUUUUCUGUUUAUUUGGAUUUUACAUCCCCUUCGCGAAGUGCCCUUCAAGGGCGCACAAACGGCAUUUGGAAUUUACCCACACACACGCAACAGCUAAACAGAGAUUCGCGGCAGCAGAAGAGAUGGCGAGUCAGGAGGAGCAAUCCGAUGGAAAGUUGGCAUUUUCAAGGUGGAGAUAAGCACUACUUCAAAUUCAUUGUGGUCAAAGCAAGAACGUGCAUGUAAUGUGUACAUUAUGUCCGGGAGCGAAGACU
This is a long non-coding RNA of Paramisgurnus dabryanus, 1039 nucleotides long. RefSeq lists it as uncharacterized. NCBI's taxonomy places the organism in Eukaryota, Metazoa, Chordata, Actinopteri, Cypriniformes, Cobitidae. The record is from RefSeq and is a predicted model, not a curated record.